RNAcentral lists this ribosomal RNA (117 nucleotides) under Harryflintia acetispora. The record is from RNAcentral. RNAcentral also lists the same sequence under 1 other name. Lineage: Bacteria; Bacillati; Bacillota; Clostridia; Eubacteriales; Oscillospiraceae.
GCCGGUGUUAAUGGCGAUGAGGAACCACCUGUUCCCAUACCGAACACAGAAGUUAAGCUCAUCCGCGCCGACAAUACUUGGCGGGCGACUGCCUGGGAAGAUAGGUCGAUGCCGGCA